This is a long non-coding RNA of Zalophus californianus (California sea lion), 451 nucleotides long. RefSeq lists it as uncharacterized. The record is from RefSeq and is a predicted model, not a curated record. Lineage: Eukaryota; Metazoa; Chordata; Mammalia; Carnivora; Otariidae. The transcript has 3 exons.
AUGGAGAAACCAGCAGAGUGCCUGAGUGGUUGUGAGGAGUGAACCUGCAGAUUUCGUCAGCAAUGGGCCAUGUGAUGUGUCGGCUGCUGGUGACCAAGGUCUCCACCACACACCGCAGUGCCUGCACUCCGAGGGCUCCAGAGCUGUGCCGGAGUGGGCAGGGAAGCGGACAGACGAUCAUCGUGAGCACCCAGGGACUGCUGGAGACCCCCAAGGGUGCUGGGUGCACGCGGAGGACAUCAGCUUUGGAGAACCCCACCAUCUGCUUAAGACGCUACCACACCUUCCCUUCCUGAGAUCUGGAGGCUGAUGCUCGAUAAUUCACUGGUAUGUCCACAUCCUGGUCAUCAGCAUAAAUCUCCCCUCCUGGCACGUGUGGUGACAGCUCCUCUGGUCUCCUGCACUUUCUUUGCCGAGUUCCCCAUUAGUGUUGUUUGCACGAAGAAAGGCC